Molecule: transfer RNA, 29 nt
Filed under: Myrcianthes fragrans
Lineage: Eukaryota; Viridiplantae; Streptophyta; Magnoliopsida; Myrtales; Myrtaceae
Description: partial tRNA-His
Source: RNAcentral
CGGAUGUAGCCAAGUGACCAGGGCAGUAA